Non-coding RNA from Rattus norvegicus (Norway rat), 1547 nucleotides. The record is from RefSeq and is a predicted model, not a curated record. Lineage: Eukaryota; Metazoa; Chordata; Mammalia; Rodentia; Muridae.
ACACCUGAGUUAAUUCUGCCGAAAUGAGGAGUUUGGCUUGCACCUCGCUCUGAUUUCCUUCCUCUUCCUUGAAAACCAACAUGUCCCCAAGUGCCCUUAAACACAGGGACAGCCACUCAUACUUGAUAUAUGCUGGCAGUCCCAGGGAGAUGAGGGAGAGAAUUUUCUAGCAGCUAACGGUCAUCACUCUGGAACCCAGCUUCUAAAAAUAGAUGAAGAAAGAGAUUAUGCAUGGUGGUGGAGGGAAGACACUAUGGAGGUCCAAGGAGAUGGUACCCUGUGUAAGCCAAGGACUGCAGCCUCAAGAGAAACCCGUCUACCCAUGCCUUGAUCUUGGAUUUCCAACCUCCACAUUGGCUUUUGGGUAGUUGGUCCUAUGACUGAAGGCCCCUUCUGCUCUACGACGAAGACUGGCAAAACUCGCCUCAGCCCCCAGAGCAAGGCUAACCUAUCCACUCUACUCAUCAAAGAUCACCAUUCUCUCUGAUAUCUAAAAGGCGCUUUCUGCUUGUCACUUACUGUGGGAUAGUCAUUACUUCUAAUGUAUCGGACUGUGUACCCUCGUCUUAGGUUUUCUGUUGUUUCUAGGAAAGUGAAGGUUUCUCAAGGACGAGGGAAUUACAGUGUGCUUUAUGGAGGUUCCGUAGUGUCUGCUGCAAAGCUGAGUGGAAUAACAUCUUCAAAAAAUGCAACUGCACCUGGAGUCAAAGGCACAAGAGAUAUUAAUCAUAUCGAGUCAACCUGUUUUCAGUCAACUGUGUAAAAAGCUACUGAUUCAUGGCUGAGUGCUACUUCUUUGAGGCAACCUAAAUAACAGACAAUUCUUUUCUUUUCUUUUCUUUUUUUUUCCUGGAGCUGGGGACCGAACUCAGGGCCUUGUGCUUGCUAGGCAAGUGCUCUACCACUGAGCUAAAUCCCCAACCCCGACAAUCCUUUAUAUAGCCACCGACUUGCUAAUUUGCUGGCAACCUGAAGCUGGUCCCUAAUUUGUGCUAACAAACUCUAUCUCUAAGAAAGAGAUACAGAACUUGAAAAACAAAGAUUAAAAAUAAUAAUAAUUAAGUGACCACACCGUUACAAGUCCCAGAAUCAGUAACCUAAAGCUACUUGGGAAACAAUAAAAUUUCAAAAAAGUAAUAAUAAAAUAAAUGAUAAAUAAUAAUAUAAUAAUAAAUAAUAAAUAAAUAAAUAAUAAAAUAAUAAUAAAAAUAAUAAUUGCUUCAGCUUCCUGCUGCCUUGGUUUAUCAUGAUGGACUGCAUUUUGAACUAUGAGUAAAACUCAGGACAGAUAGUGGGAUGGUUUGCAUAUGCUUGGCUCAGGGAGUGGCACUAUUAGAAGGUGUGGCCUUGUUAGAGGAAGUGUGUCACUGUGGGGGGUGGGCUUGGAGACCCUCCUCCUAGCUGCUUGGGGAUGCUUAGACUGUUCCUGGCUUCCUUCAAGUGAAGAUGUAGAACUCUCAGCUCCUUCUCUAGUACUAUGUCUGCCUGCGUGCCUCCCACAAUAAUGGAGCAAACAUUUGAAAUUGUAAGUCAGCCCCAAUUAAAUG